UGCUCCUUUUUAAUGUCAAUUGUCAAACAAUAAUUUUUCCUUGGUCUAUAUUUUACCGUGAAUUCUAUUAAAAUAAUAAACUUAUAAGUAUCUUAUUAGAAAUAAAUAACGUUAUAACGUUUUAUUUCGAUCGGAUUUUGUUUUGUUUGUGUUUAUUAGUUGAUAUAGACGCCAUGUUGACUGAAUAUCCCCUGAGGGAUAAUGGCUUAUCGCAAAGCAAAAUUUUCUAUUGUUGAGUAAAAAUUCCUAUAAAGUUAUGACGUGUGCGAGUGUAUAUUAAGUUUAAUUGGAAACACAGUCGGUUAAAAAUAAUUUAAGGCGUACAAUGUCGCGCUGUCGUGUUAUCGUGGAAACAUGUUAAACGACUUACUCGGAUUAUAUAUUUAAAAUCAUAGCUAAAUGUAAAGUUUUAAAACUCGCAUUUGUUUUUCUUUAUCGAAUCGUAUUUUCAUUUUUGAAAUUUUUUUUUUCAAAAUUCAGUAGUGUGCUGUCAGUCAGUCUGUGCUUAUUUUGAAACGAAAAAAAAAAAAGAAAACACUCGCUAAUUAAUACUUCUAAGCUUAAAAUUCCUAAAGAAAGUUUUAAUCAUAGUCAAAAUGUUAGCAUAUGUACAUUAUAGUGCGAAUUUUUCACAUUAGAAAUCGUAAAUUGUCAAGAAAUCACCUUCCAAUGAUCGGAGGUCGGAAUAUUUAGUUUUAUGUAAAUAAAAUAAUAUACCAUCCUUGGAGUGC
This is a long non-coding RNA of Melitaea cinxia (Glanville fritillary), 731 nucleotides long. RefSeq lists it as uncharacterized. NCBI's taxonomy places the organism in Eukaryota, Metazoa, Arthropoda, Insecta, Lepidoptera, Nymphalidae. The transcript has 2 exons. The record is from RefSeq and is a predicted model, not a curated record.